AAUCCAUGCAUAGGACAUUUCCUAAGCAUAUCCUUAAACCUUUCCCAUGCUUCAUAUGGUGUUUCAUCCUCUAGUUGCAUGAAUGAUGUUAUGUCAUUUCUUAGUUU
Small nucleolar RNA from Gossypium raimondii (Peruvian cotton), 107 nucleotides. It matches the Rfam family "Plant small nucleolar RNA R71". Rfam says of the family: R71 is a member of the C/D box family of snoRNAs containing the C (UGAUGA) and D (CUGA) box motifs. The record is from Rfam. Lineage: Eukaryota; Viridiplantae; Streptophyta; Magnoliopsida; Malvales; Malvaceae.